This 411-nucleotide ribosomal RNA is filed under the name uncultured bacterium. Its description in RNAcentral is "bacterial SSU rRNA". It matches the Rfam family "Bacterial small subunit ribosomal RNA", at positions 64 to 507 of the family's 1533-position model. The record is from RNAcentral.
GAACGAGAAAGUGGAGCAAUCCAUGAGUAAAGUGGCGACCGGGUGAGUAACACGUGACUAACCUGCCCUUGAGUGGGGGAUAACCUCGGGAAACCGGGGCUAAUACCGCAUAACAUCGCAAGAUCAAAGGAGCAAUCCGCUGAAGGAGGGGGUCGCGGCUGAUUAGUUAGUUGGUGAGGUAACGGCUCACCAAGACGAAGAUCAGUAGCCGGCCUGAGAGGGCGCACGGCCACACUGGAACUGAAACACGGUCCAGACUCCUACGGGAGGCAGCAGUGGGGAAUUUUGCGCAAUGGGGGAAACCCUGACGCAGCAACGCCGCGUGGAGGAUGAAGCCCUUUGGGGCGUAAACUCCUUUCGACCAAGACGAUAAUGACGGUACUGGUGGAAGAAGCACCGGCUAACUCUGUG